Long non-coding RNA from Homo sapiens (human), 2111 nucleotides. Ensembl annotates it as testis expressed transcript, Y-linked 14. Its record names the gene TTTY14. NCBI's taxonomy places the organism in Eukaryota, Metazoa, Chordata, Mammalia, Primates, Hominidae. The record is from Ensembl.
GGUUUCGCAUAGUGUAAUCACAAUUUUGUGCAUUUUAAAAUUACCUUAGACAACACUCAGAUUUGCAAGAGCAAAGGAAAUCAUUAACAAAUGAACUAUCAACGAUUGCCAAAAUUCUUUCCAUAUUGGCUGCCUAUACUUGGGUCUUCUGCAGCCAGAGUUUGCUCUGUUUCCUCUUUUGGAAGCUAGAAAAAUUAAAAAUUGUUGUUCUAUGUUUAAAAACUAUAGAAAUGCUGUUCUCCAAAGAGAAAAUACUGGAGCAGAACAGGUAUAUAUUCUGUGAACUUUGUUUUCCAAAAAGUCUGGUUGAGUAUUUAAGGUCCAGCUACCUACCAAGAAAUAUGCCAAGGUCUGCGAAGUGUAGAAUGCCAAACAAUGGCAUUUGUUUCAUCAAUUCAAUCCAUGUGUUUCAUCAAUUCAUGCAUUUUUUUUCCCUUAAAUAAUAAGUCAAUUUUAUCCUUUUGAUUCAACCAGCACAGCUUAGGGGAUGACACAUGCAUACAGUAGACUGUCAGAGUGGUAUACUUUGUAUAAUAGAAAUAAAUGAAGAUAAAAUAGAAAGGAAAAAAAGCAGAUGAUUUGCUAGGAACUCUGCCUGACCUGUAGUCCCUCAGCACAUAACAUUGUCUCUGGGGAAGAAAAGUUUAUCUUGGGCUGCAAACAGACAAUAAAUGGUAAGAAGCCUCAAGUUCUGAGACUUGGAUAACCACAGUAAGUAUCCCUUAUGGUAGGGCAGUGCAGAGCUCAGCUUUCUAAGAUGGAGAUUUCUAACGAAGAGACACAUUUCCCUAUGUAAUGAGAAAGUUGGGCUUAGAGGAUUUUUUAUUUUGCUUAUUUAUUGUGUGCAUGAAAAUUUUUGCUCUCAAGUUCAUUUUUGUCAGAUAUUGACAAAAUUCAGACUGCAUAAAGUUUAAAAAGGUAUCUACAGCAAUUUUUUUAAAAGCAUAGUUGAAAAUCUCUUAUCUUCUCCCUACUCCAUUUAAUUCAUCAACCUAGAAGAUGUGGUUAAAGCCCUCUUCUUAACAGUUUAGAAGUGUUGUGUUACCAUAGACUUUUGUUUGAGUAAUGUAAAAUAACUCGUGGAUAGUCUGACACUUUGCAAGAAAGCAUGUAACUCUGUUGUUCAGAUAUAACACCAGGAGGCCUUGGGAUUAUCUACCUAUCAGUGCUGAGAUGGAGAAAGAGUCAAAAGCAACCCUUCUUGCUCCAGGCAUGUGCAGGAGGUUUUUUGGUUUCAGCAUUUUGUUGCAUGCUGACUAUGUCCUUUACCUUCUCUUAAAUUAUGUAUCAAUUCAUGCUGGUUUAUUCACUUCCUGAUGUCUAUAUGAAGAGGCUGUCUGCCAACAUCUUUCAUCACUCUGCCUGCAACUAUGAAAAAUUUAGUUCUAAAAAAUGCAACCUUGCUAAAUUGAGUACUAAUAGGAUUGGUUCAAUUAUGUUCUAUGUCUGUUCCAUAUUGACAUUGUGUGCAUCUUUGCCAUGCAGGCUUUUUAGGAAUUAUCGCAUCUCUAACUUCCCACGAGUGUUUAUGAAAAUGUUUAGAUUUAAAGAACUUUAUUGCUUUAGACAGAAUAAGGCAUGCAGUUCUAACAGAAAGAUCCAUGAAUUCCAGAAAUAUCACUGAAAAUUAUUGACAUUUAAGAUUAUUUUCUGUUUGUUACUAUGGUUCACAAUUCAAGAAUAACUCUGGCCAGGUGCAGUAGCUCACACCCUGUAAUCCCAGCACUUUGGGAGGCUGAGGUAGGCAGAUCACUUGAGCUCAAGAGUUCAAGACCAGCCUGGGAAACAUGGCAAACUCCCACCAUUACAAAAAAAUACAAAAAUUAGUUGGUCAUGGUGGUGUUCACCUAUAGUCCCAGUGACUUGGGAGGCUGGGAUGGGAGGAUCUCUUGAGCCCAGGAGAUGCAGGCUUGCAGUGAGCCAUGAUCAUGCCACUGUACUGCAGACUGGGUGAAACAGCAAGAUCUUGUCUGAAAAGAAAAAAAAAAGUAAAAGAAAAAGAAAAGAAAAUAACUCCCAUUGCUAAAGACAUAUAUGCUUAUCAGCCACAGCAUGUUCCGAAGAGAUGAUUGGAAGAUGGAAGUGGAGGGUUAAAUAAUGAAAUGCAGCUA